This 660-nucleotide ribosomal RNA is filed under the name Bacillus zhangzhouensis. Its description in RNAcentral is "bacterial SSU rRNA". It matches the Rfam family "Bacterial small subunit ribosomal RNA", at positions 56 to 700 of the family's 1533-position model. Lineage: Bacteria; Bacillati; Bacillota; Bacilli; Caryophanales; Bacillaceae. The record is from RNAcentral.
UGCAGUCGAGCGGACAGAAGGGAGCUUGCUCCCGGAUGUUAGCGGCGGACGGGUGAGUAACACGUGGGUAACCUGCCUGUAAGACUGGGAUAACUCCGGGAAACCGGAGCUAAUACCGGAUAGUUCCUUGAACCGCAUGGUUCAAGGAUGAAAGACGGUUUCGGCUGUCACUUACAGAUGGACCCGCGGCGCAUUAGCUAGUUGGUGGGGUAAUGGCUCACCAAGGCGACGAUGCGUAGCCGACCUGAGAGGGUGAUCGGCCACACUGGGACUGAGACACGGCCCAGACUCCUACGGGAGGCAGCAGUAGGGAAUCUUCCGCAAUGGACGAAAGUCUGACGGAGCAACGCCGCGUGAGUGAUGAAGGUUUUCGGAUCGUAAAGCUCUGUUGUUAGGGAAGAACAAGUGCGAGAGUAACUGCUCGCACCUUGACGGUACCUAACCAGAAAGCCACGGCUAACUACGUGCCAGCAGCCGCGGUAAUACGUAGGUGGCAAGCGUUGUCCGGAAUUAUUGGGCGUAAAGGGCUCGCAGGCGGUUUCUUAAGUCUGAUGUGAAAGCCCCCGGCUCAACCGGGGAGGGUCAUUGGAAACUGGGAAACUUGAGUGCAGAAGAGGAGAGUGGAAUUCCACGUGUAGCGGUGAAAUGCGUAGAGAUGUG